UACGGAGGGUGCAAGCGUUAUCCGGAUUCACUGGGUUUAAGGGGUGCGUAGGCGGGCAGGUAAGUCAGUGGUGAAAUCUCCGGGCUUAACCCGGAAACUGCCGUUGAUACUAUCUGUCUUGAAUAUCGUGGAGGUAAGCGGAAUAUGUCAUGUAGCGGUGAAAUGCUUAGAUAUGACAUAGAACACCCAUUGCGAAGGCAGCUUACUACACGAUCAUUGACGCUGAGGCACGAAAGCGUGGGGAGCAAACAGG
This 253-nucleotide ribosomal RNA is filed under the name uncultured bacterium. Its description in RNAcentral is "partial 16S ribosomal RNA". It matches the Rfam family "Bacterial small subunit ribosomal RNA", at positions 524 to 776 of the family's 1533-position model. The record is from RNAcentral.